Molecule: ribosomal RNA, 555 nt
Filed under: uncultured bacterium
Lineage: Bacteria
Description: partial 16S ribosomal RNA
Rfam family: Bacterial small subunit ribosomal RNA
Source: RNAcentral
UAGGGAAUCUUCCACAAUGGACGCAAGUCUGAUGGAGCAACGCCGCGUGAGUGAAGAAGGUUUUCGGACCGUAAAGCUCUGUUGUUGGUGAAGAAGGAUAGAGGUAGUAACUGGCCUUUAUUUGACGGUAAUCAACCAGAAAGUCGCGGCUAACUACGUGCCAGCAGCCGCGGUAAUACGUAGGUGGCAAGCGUUGUCCGGAUUUAUUGGGCGUAAAGCGAGCGCAGGCGGAAGAAUAAGUCUGAUGUGAAAGCCCUCGGCUUAACCGAGGAAUUGCAUCGGAAACUGUUUUUCUUGAGUGCAGAAGAGGAGAGUAGAACUCCAUGUGUAGCGGUGGAAUGCGUAGAUAUAUGGAAGAAUACCAGUGGCGAAGGCGGCUCUCUGGUCUGCAACUGACGCUGAGGCUCGAAAGCAUGGGUAGCGAACAGGAUUAGAUACCCUGGUAGUCCAUGCCGUAAACGAUGAGUGCUAAGUGUUGGGAGGCUUCCGCCUCUCAGUGCUGCAGCUAACGCAUUAAGCACUCCGCCUGGGGGAGUACGACCGCAAGGUUGAAAC